AGAGAUGUUGAGAAGGCAAAAUUGAUGGGCAUUGGCAACAGAUUAGAUAUGGGGACAGAGUGAGAGAUAGUGAGGCUUGAAGGAUGACAUCUAGUUUGUGAGGCUGAGGAACUGAGAAGAUGGUAUUGCCCUCUAUAGAAAUACAUGAGCUGCAUACCAAACAUGAGAGCAUAAAACAGGAAGAUGCACAAGCAGUGAUACAUAGAAAAGGCAAUUGAAUCGGGGGAAAAUUACUCCUAAGCCAAGGCAUUUGUCACGUCUCAGUGUUAAACCAAGACAGAUGGUUCUAGCAGUAUCUUCUUUAAGCUUUAUGAUCAAGUCAGCUCAGCAUACAGCUCAACUAUGGAAACAACAACAGCAGCAAAAAAGAGUUUAAAACAAAACCACAGGAUGGGAAAUGCUUCCUUCUCCAUAUUCCAGGCACAAACAUUCUACUUGUACAACAGAGUCUGGAAAAGAAGCCAAUGACAGUUAUGAUACCAGUGACUCACCUUACAGAAUCCAAACACAGAAGGUAAGAAAGCCAAGAAGUUGGAGUCUUUCUUUUAUCAAGAAGAAAGGAGUGAUUACACACUAAAUACGAUCACAUGAGGAAAAGUCCAUGAGAAUGAAAGGACAAAGGGGCCCUGUGGGAACUUACAUGGAAGAACUGAAAAAGUGACAUGAUACUUUAUGUGAUGAAAUUAAUUCAUUUCAAUGUAAGUAGAGCCUAAGCAAGU
Molecule: long non-coding RNA, 719 nt
Organism: Phascolarctos cinereus (koala)
Lineage: Eukaryota; Metazoa; Chordata; Mammalia; Diprotodontia; Phascolarctidae
Source: RefSeq, a predicted model, not a curated record